RNAcentral lists this small RNA (517 nucleotides) under Pongo abelii (Sumatran orangutan). Its description in RNAcentral is "processed transcript". The record is from RNAcentral. Lineage: Eukaryota; Metazoa; Chordata; Mammalia; Primates; Hominidae.
AGAGCUCAAGACCUCUACUUGCAUAUCCAUGGCAGUCUAUCCUCUUGCCUUGAAACCAUACAAGCUUCUGAGAAUUCAGGAUAGAUAAUAUCCUGCGGAUUGAUUCCUCAGAAUUAAAACAAUAAACAGAGGAAAACAUUGGAACUCUGCUGAUUGAUUUUUAACAGAAUCUGACAAGUUACUGAACAAUAUAAGAAAGAGGAGAUUAGGGCACACAGAGGGAUACCAGGGGUGCAUGUGCACAGAACAUCAGCCAUGUGAAGAAUCAACAAGAGGGCAGCCAUCUGCAAGCUAAGGAAAGAGGGCUCAGAGAAAACCAACUCUGCUGACACCUUGAUCUUGGACUUCCAGCCUCCAUCACUAAGAAAAUUAAUUUCUGUUGUUUAAGAACCCAGUGUGUGGUGUUUUGUUAUGGAAUCUCCAGCAAAUUCAUACAAAUAGGUCUAUAAAUUGGAAAAGAAGAGAAAAUGUUCCUUUUUUGCAAACAUAUCUAUGUAGAAAAUUAAAAAUAAUAAAC